Molecule: ribosomal RNA, 301 nt
Filed under: uncultured bacterium
Lineage: Bacteria
Description: partial 16S ribosomal RNA
Rfam family: Bacterial small subunit ribosomal RNA
Source: RNAcentral
CAGCCGCCGCGGUAAAACGAAGGGUGCAAGCGUUAAUCGGAAUUACUGGGCGUAAAGCGUGCGUAGGUGGUGGUUUAAGUCCGUUGUGAAAGCCCUGGGCUCAACCUGGGAAUUGCAGCGGAUACUGGGUCACUAGAGUGUGGUAGAGGAUAGUGGAAUUUCCGGUGUAGCAGUGAAAUGCGUAGAGAUCGGAAGGAACAUCCGUGGCGAAGGCGACUAUCUGGGCCAACACUGACACCGAGGCACGAAAGCGUGGGGAGCAAACAGGAUUAGAUACCCCGGUAGUCCCUGUCUCUUAUAC